UCCCUGGUGGUCCAGUAGUUAGGGCUCAGUGAUUUCACCACUGUGGCCCAGGUUCAAUCCCUGGUCUGGGAA
RNAcentral lists this transfer RNA (72 nucleotides) under Sus scrofa (pig). It matches the Rfam family "tRNA". Rfam says of the family: Transfer RNA (tRNA) molecules are approximately 80 nucleotides in length. The record is from Rfam by way of RNAcentral. Lineage: Eukaryota; Metazoa; Chordata; Mammalia; Artiodactyla; Suidae.